ACUGUGUGCCGGCUGCCCUCGCUCUCACUGGCAGGUUCUUCCCUGAUGUUAGAACCCACUUCUUCAGGCGCCCAAAGUAAACUGGAGUAAACAGCAGCUCUCCAAGAAUCCUCUAGGCCUUUUGGCACCAAAUUGGAACUUCCAAAGCAUCCAGCGUUGAGGACUGUCAGUGUGAGACAACCACUGUUGGACGACAAGAGCCACACCGUGAACUGACCAAGAUCACUAAGCACUCCCAGCUCUCAGGCUUUUGGACUCAGGCUGAAUUCUUCUACUGUUCUCCAAUUCUGCAGACAGUAAGCCAUGGGAAUCUCAGUCUCCACAGCCACUGAAUCCUCUUCUUAUAGAGAGACUCCAUGUCUGUGAGGGUGGCACAUGGAGUGAUGGAGUGAGUUCUCAGCCAGAAAAAAAAAAAAAAAAAAAAAAAAAAAAACCAAAGCGAAGCCCCAGAGAAUAUGCAGCUGAAGAAAAAGAAAAGCAAGUCUGAAAUGUGCUCACAGCAUCCUGAAGCAAUUUAAGAGAGGAUGGGGAGGGGGCUUGCCCAGAGAUCUAGGCAUGGAAAUUAUUUCCCCCUUUUAAUGCAGAUGGAAGAAAAUGAGAACUGCUGCACUCCCAAGAGGAAAACCAGCCAAAAGGAAAAGUCUCUUAGCAUUCCCAGCAAGACGCGCCUGUGUGUGUACAAACAACUUGCAAAGGAGCAAGGCCGCCCUGGGGUAACGCUGGGGUGUCCUCCUUCUCUGCCUUUCAGCUUCUCUGCUUACCAGUCUGCACUACAUGCAGAAAUGCUCUGCGCACGCACGUCUAAGGUGUGUGUACACAUGUAGGAACGGUUCACUCUGCUCUGCACCCUGCUCUCUGAAUGUCUGGAGUGUUUCCAAUGGUUUGCUAUAGCAAUGCAGUAUCUGGGAUAUAUUUCCCAGGCCCCUUUAUAUCACUGAGUUGAGGCUAGAACAUAGGAUAUAUCUGUAAUGGUCAGUUUUCUAGGUCAGUUUUCUAGGACAACUCCUGGAAGAAAAUAGGAAGUGUGUUCAGGAUCCCCUAAAGCAGAAUGUUGACCUUUCCAGUUCUGAGCAGAGCAUUGUAGGGGGUCUGGCGCUCUCUAGGCCUCCUCCAGGAGAGGUGACUUUCAAAGAUGCCUUCACUGGGUCAGGAAGAAAAGAUGAUUCAUCUUUGCAAAACAAAAUCAAAAUCCCUCUUCCCUCUCCACAAAUGAUUUAGGAAACAAAAUUGAAGACUUGGAAAGUGUCCAUCACAAAGAGGCGAAACCCAGAAUGACUACGGAACCCCGGAGUGGGAGUCCCAGUCGGACAUGCCGAGAGCCGGACCACCAUUGUGGCUGGAAAUCUGAGUGGGUGUCAGAGAGGAGAUGUGAACUUCUGUAACACGCCGAACUGCUAAAAAUUCCUGCGACAUUUCCUUCCCCCCAAUAAACUGUCACACAGCAAAGCUGUUUCUGACAGGAUUGAAGUUCCGGGAAAGCAAUAUGGAGACCUUCACCCCGCAGGUGUACAUGGUUCCCGACGUGAGUCCCUGAGGAUGCUCUCCUGCAGCAGUUUAGGUGUGGCUGAGGUUGGCAUAGUCAGAAAG
This 1587-nucleotide long non-coding RNA is filed under the name Mus pahari (shrew mouse). RNAcentral describes it as "predicted gene 9946 (MGP_PahariEiJ_G0005096.1)". Lineage: Eukaryota; Metazoa; Chordata; Mammalia; Rodentia; Muridae. The record is from RNAcentral.